GAUGAACGCUGGCGGCGUGCCUAAUACAUGCAAGUCGAGCUAACGGACGAGAAGCUUGCUUCUCUGAUGUUAGCGGCGGACGGGUGAGUAACACGUGGAUAACCUACCUAUAAGACUGGGAUAACUUCGGGAAACCGGAGCUAAUACCGGAUAAUAUUUUGAACCGCAUGGUUCAAAAGUGAAAGACGGUCUUGCUGUCACUUAUAGAUGGAUCCGCGCUGCAUUAGCUAGUUGGUAAGGUAACGGCUUACCAAGGCAACGAUGCAUAGCCGACCUGAGAGGGUGAUCGGCAACACUGGAACUGAGACACGGUCCAGACUCCUACGGGAGGCAGCAGUAGGGAAUCUUCCGCAAAGGGCGAAAGCCUGACGGAGCAACGCCGCGUGAGUGAUGAAGGUCUUCGGAUCGUAAAACUCUGUUAUUAGGGAAGAACAUAUGUGUAAGUAACUGUGCACAUCUUGACGGUACCUAAUCAGAAAGCCACGGCUAACUACGUG
This 497-nucleotide ribosomal RNA is filed under the name uncultured bacterium. RNAcentral's name for it is "partial 16S ribosomal RNA". It matches the Rfam family "Bacterial small subunit ribosomal RNA", at positions 28 to 507 of the family's 1533-position model. The record is from RNAcentral.